Molecule: ribosomal RNA, 296 nt
Filed under: Streptococcus oralis
Lineage: Bacteria; Bacillati; Bacillota; Bacilli; Lactobacillales; Streptococcaceae
Description: partial 23S ribosomal RNA
Rfam family: Bacterial large subunit ribosomal RNA
Source: RNAcentral
CUGGGUUAGUCGGGACCUAAGGAGAGACCGAAAGGUGUAUCCGAUGGACAACAGGUUGAUAUUCCUGUACUAGAGUAUGUAGUGAUGGAGGGACGCAGUAGGCUAACUAAAGCAGACGAUUGGAAGAGUCUGUCUAAGCAGUGAGGUGUGAAUUGAGUCAAAUGCUUAAUUCUAUAACAUUGAGCUGUGAUGGGGAGCGAAGUUUAGUAGCGAAGUUAGUGACGUCACACUGCCAAGAAAAGCUUCUAGCGUUUAAACAUACUCUACCCGUACCGCAAACCGACACAGGUAGUCGA